AUCCUAGAUCUGAAUGAAUGAAAUAUUCUUAUUAAAUACUUUUUUCUUUAUAUAGUUGAAUGUGCUGACAACAAUCACACAAUUUGAUUUUCAUUGAUCAUUUAUCAACCCAUGGAGGUCUGGAUUUGGAGUCACACUCAAAAUUAAAGUGGACAACCACACUACAGGCUGAUCCAACUUUGAUGUAAUGUCCUUAAAACAAGUCAAAAUGAGGCUCUGUAGUGUGUGUGGCCUCCACGUGCCUGUAUGACCUCCCUACAACGCCUGGGCAUGCUCCUGAUGAGGUGGCGGAUGGUCUCCUGAGGGAUCUCUUCCCAAACCUGGACUAAAUCAUCAAUGCCUUCCUCUUGCAGGAACUGCUGACACACUCCAGCCACAUGAGGUCUAGCAUGGUCUUGCAUUAGGAGGAACCCAGGGCCAACCGCACCAGCAUAUGGUCUCACAAGGGGUCUGAGGAUCUCAUCUCGGUACCUAAUGGCAGUCAGGCUACCUCUGGCGAGCACAUGGAGGGCUGUGCGGCCCCCCAAAGAAAUGCCACCCCACACCAUGACUGACCCAACGCCAAACCGGUCAUGCUGGAGGAUGUUGCCGGCAGCAGAAUGUUCUCCACGGCGUCUCCAGACUGUCACAUUCUCAGUGUGAACCUGCUUUCACCUGUGAAGAGCACAGGGCGCCAGUGGCGAAUUUGCCAAUCUUGGUGUUCUCUACCAGUUUCUACACUGACUCUUUGACCUUUAAAAAUAGUAACUCACACACAAACUUCUCAGGCUUUUCAAUCUAUGAUUGAACUGUGCUUCUACACCUGCAUUGCUUGCUGUUUGGGGUUUUAGGCUGGGUUUCUGUACAGCACUUUGAGAUAUCAGCUGAUGUACGAAGGGCUAAAUAAAUACAUUUGAUUUGAUAUCAUCUUGUUCAUGGGGUGGCAGGUAGCCAAGUGGUUAGAGCAUUGGACUAUUAACCGAAAGUUUGCAAGAUCAAAUCACCGAGCUGACAAGGUGAAUGGAGGAAUCGAGACGCGGCUCGAUAAGGAGGUCUUACACUAUGACUACCACGCCUCAUUCUUCGACAUAUUUCUCCUGGCUGUGUUACGGUUUGCAGCCCUAAUCUUGGCCUAUGCUGUUUGUAAACUGCGUCACUGGUGGGCCAUAGCGAUAACCACAGCAACCACAAGUGCUUUCCUGAUCGCAAAAGUCAUUUUAUCAAAGGUAUGCUUUUAUUAAAGUAUGUCUGAUGUAAUUUUAACAAGAGGAAUGAAAAAAUAUAUUUCAUAAUUUGAAUACAAUAGGAGGGAUAUGCAUCUUCUCUCUGACAUAGUGGAGAAGGGUGGUAAGAUGUUUUUGAUUUUUCAUGUUUGGAUUGUGAAUCGAAUAAUGUAAUAACUGUCAUUACUGUAGGACUUGGUGUUGGUACAGUUGUUCCUCCUUUAAAAGAUGUGAGCUUUACGCCGCGGGACUUAGAGGGACCCAGCGUCACGGCUUCAUUGCUCCAGACCACCACAAGGGGGAGUUAGGGCACUCAUUAUGCAUUUGGGUCCCAAGGUUUUUAUAUGACUUCAUAUUAAUGAGUAAUUUCACGCGAGCCACCCGUCCCUGGUGAAUUUCUUCAGCAAAGAUGGCUGACAUUACGGGGGAAGCAGGUGUAAGUAGUUAUAACGCCAUAACAAGUUAAGCAAAAAAUGUACAAUUAAGAGGAAUAUGGUAGUAAUGUAGAGACAAACGAUUGUGCGUAUUUGUUUGUCAAAGUUAAUUUACGAAAAUCGCUAUUUAUCAAGUUUUUUUUUUUGUUGGUGUCAUAUCUAAUACCAGGUGUAUCAAACUCCAGUAUUUGAAUGAUGCUGUGUCUGGAUGUAUGUAUUACAGUUAUACACUUCAACAGUGUUUACCGCUCCUGGGACGUCAAUGAUUACACAGUGU
Oncorhynchus keta (chum salmon) is the source of this 1913-nucleotide long non-coding RNA. RefSeq lists it as uncharacterized. Lineage: Eukaryota; Metazoa; Chordata; Actinopteri; Salmoniformes; Salmonidae. The record is from RefSeq and is a predicted model, not a curated record. The transcript is spliced from 4 exons.